UGCCAGCACCGCGGUAAUACGGAGGGUGCAAGCGUUAAUCGGAAUUACUGGGCGUAAAGCGUGCGUAGGCGGUUUAUUAAGUCAGGUGUGAAAGCCCCGGGCUUAACCUGGGAACUGCAUUUGAAACUGGUAAACUAGAGUAUGGUAGAGGAAAGUGGAAUUUCUGGUGUAGCGGUGAAAUGCGUAGAUAUCAGAAGGAACAUCAAUGGCGAAGGCAGCUUUCUGGAUCAUUACUGACACUGAGGAACGAAAGCAUGGGUAGCGAAGAGGAUUAGAUA
RNAcentral lists this ribosomal RNA (278 nucleotides) under uncultured bacterium. RNAcentral's name for it is "partial 16S ribosomal RNA". It matches the Rfam family "Bacterial small subunit ribosomal RNA", at positions 506 to 784 of the family's 1533-position model. The record is from RNAcentral.